Molecule: long non-coding RNA, 1088 nt
Organism: Silurus meridionalis
Lineage: Eukaryota; Metazoa; Chordata; Actinopteri; Siluriformes; Siluridae
Exons: 4
Source: RefSeq, a predicted model, not a curated record
AAUGAAUGAGGUUCAGGUGGUGAUUGACACUCCUGACCACCAAUCAGUAGCGAGCAGGCACUAUUUAGAGUGGGUUGGUUUGAGCCUGGCAUGUGUCACGCCCGGAUCCUCCCCUUUUGCGGUUGCUAAAGACAUUUCAGCCUGUCUUUUCAGUGUGUGUCCCUGUUGGAUGCUGCUUUGGAUCUGUUUAUUGCCCUCCCUGCAGUUUAACAGCAGGUUAUUUGAAGGCUGCGUAUCCUGAGCGGUGAAUUGAUUCUCAGGAACUUAUCUAUCCGCGUUUGGAUCCUCCUUCUCUCCUCCUCUCCUUCUCUCCUUCUCUCCUCCUCUCCUUCUCUCCUUCUCUUCUUUUUCGUCCUGGGUGAUUAUUGCUGCGAUUCGACUUUUCCCUCGCUGCGUGCCGAGUGAACAACCUCGGCUUACAACUAUUGAAAAGGGGAAUUCUGCUGCUGCCAUUUGGCUUCUGUGAUUUGUUUUAACCGGUAUUGUCUGGUCUACUGUGGGGUCGAGCAACGUGCAAGUAUCGGGGCUGGCUUGAAGACGACGUGGCCGCUCCUUUUGGGUUUUGCUUCCCUCAACCUUUUAAUCAAGUUCUUCAUUGGUUUUUGUUUAAGCGGUGUAUAUGGUGAAUCAUAUUGUGCUUGGUGACUAUCCAUCAUAUUACGGUGGAAUUGUGACCUUAAUUCGCUGUUUCCUUCCUUUCUGUCUGAGAUUUAUUUUGCUUUUGGUUUCUUUCAGGAGCUGGGGUCCCACGGGUGAAAGGUCUUUGGUGGUGCUAUUUCUACAUUUGCUGUACGACACUUUUGACGUGUAUGAGUGGGUGUUUUGAGUUCACGGUGAGGUGUGUGUGGAAGUGUGCUUUUUGAUAAUUAGUGCUGAUCACUCCGGUGGGUAACUCCAGCCCUGUAUGCAAUGAUUUUAUGUUUUGUUCAUUUGGAAGUUGUGUAAAUUUAUUGUUUAAUAUUUUGUGUCCGAUUGUUUAUUUUUUGUUAUUUGUGUAAUUGUCACUGGACCAUAUUCACCAGCGAGAACAUUUUUUGUUUUAUAUUUUAAAGCUAAGUUUUCAAUAAACUUUGUAUUGUUUUAUACGA